AGCAGCCGCCGCGGUAAAACGAAGGGUGCAAGCGUUACUCGGAAUUACUGGGCGUAAAGCGUGCGUAGGUGGUGGUUUAAGUCCGUUGUGAAAGCCCUGGGCUCAACCUGGGAAUUGCAGUGGAUACUGGGUCACUAGAGUGUGGUAGAGGAUAGUGGAAUUUCCGGUGUAGCAGUGAAAUGCGUAGAGAUCGGAAGGAACAUCUGUGGCGAAGGCGACUAUCUGGGCCAACACUGACACUGAGGCACGAAAGCGUGGGGAGCAAACAGGAUUAGAUACCCCUGUAGUCCCUGUCUCUUAUAC
This 303-nucleotide ribosomal RNA is filed under the name uncultured bacterium. RNAcentral describes it as "partial 16S ribosomal RNA". It matches the Rfam family "Bacterial small subunit ribosomal RNA", at positions 507 to 807 of the family's 1533-position model. The record is from RNAcentral.